UGAUUUACUUGAUUUAGGGGUGCAGCUGCCCCCUGCCCCCCUUGGCUACACCCAUGGUAUUUGGUCUACCCUAGAACACAUUUAUUGAUUUAAAUCUGCUCCCCUAAACAUUGCCUGUCCUCUCCCUCCACCCCAAGCUACAGCAUAUAUAAUUGGUGGUUUAGUUUUCCCUUGGAGUAAAUUCACUCUACUUUAAAAUCAUAUUCUCAAAAAUAGCCAUAGUCUCAUGGUAGCUGGCUCUUACUUAAUUAUUUAGGCUGAAAUUUUAGGUUGCAUUAACUAAUAGCACUUUACUUUUUAUGCAAACGGCAGAGUGCAAACUGUGAAAGCAAUUAGCAAGCAGCAUAAAAAGAAGCCAAUGAAGUUGGGCUCGCAGCCAAAUCCAAUGAUAUUGUAGAGUCAGAUAUCCAAGGUAUCCAAGAUUUUAAAGGCUUGAUUCCCAGCUGUCAGUAAUAUGUUACAAAGUUGUAUACAUAUACAGUAUACAAUAGCAUGCAGAAAUCACUAAAAAAUGAAGGGUUGUCUGCUAACACAAGAGCCCUUACACUAGCAGAUGGCAGAGUUUAAAAGUUGUGGAAUAAAGGACCCCAUGCAACUGUUGGAAUAGUGGAAGCUUGUUGCAGGUAUCUUCAGAGAGCUUUAGAACCCUAAGCAGAAUGGGACCCCAUUUUGAGAAAGCAGGCUAGGAUCUGACUCCAAUGGAGGUGUGGCCGGAUCCAUCAGAGCAGCAGCAUGGGAGGAAAAAUCUAAUGCUAGCAUCUAGACCAAACGGGCCUGAGUCCCUACCUUCGGAUCCUGCCCUGCCUGAGGAAUUAAUCCCCUUCACUCAAAGAACUUGCAUCCUCAUGCCAACCCAUCAAUGUAGGCAACAUGCCUGGAAGGAUUUGUCAGAAAGGAGAAGUGCUCAGUUCCAAGCCAGAGGCCUGCCCCUUUAUAGCCUUUGGAACUUUCCAUGGUGCUGACUUGUCUCAUGUGCCCAAUAUUAGGACAAUAGAAAUGCAAUGGCUCAAACAACAUGAAAUCAUCCCAGGAUUCUCUGAGCUGUGGGUGAAAUUGGGGGAAGGACUCAUCUGCUAAACUCAUAGCAAAUGUGCAGAGUGCACAGUGAGGCCUCCCCUCCACCCUGGAAACUGAAAGUAGGAAAUCAAAGACAUCCAGUGGAAAACAAAAAGCAACAGCAGGGGAAUACAGUAGGGUCAAAUACCUCUGGCUUGGAUCCCCAGUACUCUAGAAGGUGCAUACCUAGUCUUAUUCAUAAUAGUUUUAUUUGUGCCCCAGUUGUCCAAACAUGCCAUGGAGGCCUGAAUAGGUGUGCUAGCAGUAACAAGUAAAAUGAAUUCCCAUAGUGCAAUAGAGCUCCCCCUGUCUCCUCCUCUCUGCACCCUUCAAAACAGCUCUUGGGGAUUGGAAGAACCCCCAGAACAGCACACAGAGGGAGCUUAUUAACUCGGGCAAGCAGAAAUGCUUGUGCUGAUGGAAAAAUGGCCUUACAGCAAUGUUGAAAUCCACCCAAAAUUAAUAGAGAUGUAUAGCCUGUGGUAAAUGAUAUACAUUGAUUAACAUUCUUGUCCUCCGUAAUGCAAGUAGAAACUGUGUGCCAAAAAAGGUGGCCUUCCUCAAACUCCAGCAAGCCAGCAGUAAGAGCAACCUCAUUUUAACUUCUAGCUCUCACCACUUUAGGCCUGCAACAGAGGAGAUGAGAAGGGCCAUUGUGACGAAAAAGUUGGUUUUGCUGGACCAGUUGGAUCAACAAGUGUUCUUUCUUUCUUUCCCUGCCAACAAAUGGUUAAUGAACGGCAGCCUCUGAUUGGCUGUGGUUCCAGGAGGGAGAGUUUAAAAGGAGAGAGUUUGAGAGAGGGUUGAGAGGGUUGGUUGAAGUGGGUUGGAAUAGAGGUUGGGAGAUAGGUAGGGAAACAGGUUAGGAGACAGGUUGAGGUAGAAAGAGUUAAUGCAAGAAAGAGUUGGUUCUGGGGAAAAAAACAACUUCCACUUCUGAGUGUAUUGUGAAGGAAAGCCUCCCUUGCCCUGCAAAUCAUCUGGAAUGUAUACCAAUGUGGGAUCUGGCUGGUAGAAACUUUCUCCGUUUCAGGAGCAUAUAUUUCAUCAGUUGUUUAAAGGGCGGGGUGCAAAGACCAGAACAGUUAUCCCUUCAAGUUUGUUCCCAAAAUGGCAGGCGGCAUAUUCCGCUUUUAUUGUGAGUAGACAGAAGGAGAGAGGGACAUGAUUUGACUGUAAAAUGUCCCAGAACUACUAGGAACAAAUAGAUCAUUGAGUGCUGCAAUGCCCAUCAUUCCUGAUCACUUUUUAGUACUCUCUCUUUUCCAUAUUUUAUGAUAAGAAAUGCAAUAAAUUGUAUACAGUGCAGUAGUUAAUAUGCUAAUAUAGUCAACAUGAAGAAAAAGAAGUAAAUUACCCCCCUAAAAAAAAAA
Molecule: long non-coding RNA, 2429 nt
Organism: Podarcis raffonei (Aeolian wall lizard)
Lineage: Eukaryota; Metazoa; Chordata; Lepidosauria; Squamata; Lacertidae
Exons: 2
Source: RefSeq, a predicted model, not a curated record